GCUUUGCCUACCAUCUCUUACCCAUGUCUUUUGAGUACCUUCGUUUCCUCGGCGGGUCCGCCCGCCGAUUGGACAAACUUAAACCCUUUGUAAUUGAAAUCAGCGUCUGAAAAAACAUAAUAGUUACAACUUUCAACAACGGAUCUCUUGGUUCUGGCAUCGAUGAAGAACGCAGCGAAAUGCGAUAAGUAGUGUGAAUUGCAGAAUUCAGUGAAUCAUCGAAUCUUUGAACGCACAUUGCGCCCCUUGGUAUUCCAUGGGGCAUGCCUGUUCGAGCGUCAUUUGUACCUUCAAGCUCUGCUUGGUGUUGGGUGUUUGUCUCGCCUUUGCGUGUAGACUCGCCUUAAAACAAUUGGCAGCCGGCGUAUUGAUUUCGGAGCGCAGUACAUCUCGCGCUUUGCACUCAUAACGACGACGUCCAAAAAGUACUUUUUACACUCUUGACCUCGGAUCA
RNAcentral lists this ribosomal RNA (454 nucleotides) under Boeremia exigua. RNAcentral's name for it is "eukaryotic LSU rRNA". The stretch from base 128 to 281 matches the Rfam family "5.8S ribosomal RNA". Lineage: Eukaryota; Fungi; Ascomycota; Dothideomycetes; Pleosporales; Didymellaceae. The record is from RNAcentral.